CAUUAAGAAGCUAUGCACCAGCGCUAGCCUUUUAAGCUAGAGAAAGGAGGAUUCCCUUCCCCCUUAAUGA
RNAcentral lists this transfer RNA (70 nucleotides) under Jynx torquilla (Eurasian wryneck). RNAcentral's name for it is "tRNA-Lys". Lineage: Eukaryota; Metazoa; Chordata; Aves; Piciformes; Picidae. The record is from RNAcentral.